Small nucleolar RNA from Oryza sativa (Asian cultivated rice), 107 nucleotides. It matches the Rfam family "Plant small nucleolar RNA R71". From Rfam's summary of the family: R71 is a member of the C/D box family of snoRNAs containing the C (UGAUGA) and D (CUGA) box motifs. Multiple nearly identical copies of this snoRNA have been identified in Arabidopsis, and it is thought to function as a 2'-O-ribose methylation guide for 18S ribosomal RNA. The record is from Rfam. Lineage: Eukaryota; Viridiplantae; Streptophyta; Magnoliopsida; Poales; Poaceae.
AUCCUAUGAUGAGGACAGGCGGUAACGCAUUCCUGCAGCCUUUCCCAAGCUUCAGAAAUGGUUUCAUCCCUCGUCGCCUAAAAGUUGGAUAUUCUUCCAUGAAGAGC